This 726-nucleotide long non-coding RNA is filed under the name Vombatus ursinus (common wombat). Its description in RNAcentral is "lncRNA (ENSVURG00010014660.1)". Lineage: Eukaryota; Metazoa; Chordata; Mammalia; Diprotodontia; Vombatidae. The record is from RNAcentral.
AAGUACCCCCUGCUCUUGGGACCGCAAUGUGCUCUGUGAAUGUUGAGCAUACUUGGGGGGCUUUGCCGAGGUCUGGCAUGGAUCACAGAUGAGGAGACCCCAGUUCUAGGGCUGAGAAGGGACCUUUUGUUGUUGUUCAGUUGCGUCCAACUUUUGUGGCCCCAUUUGGGGUUUUCUUGGCAAAGAUACUGAACUGGUUUGCCACUUCCUUCUCCAAUGGAUUAGGGCAACCAGAGGGGAAGUGAGCUGUCCAGGGUCACACAGUUAGGAAGUGUCUGAGGCUGGAUUUGAACUCAGGUCUUCCUGACUCCAGGCCCAGCACUCUAUCCAUAGAGCUGUCCAGCUCAGAGGUCACCUAGUCAGGUAAACUGAGGCAGCCUGUGACUCAACCUGGAAUUGUCAGAGGGUAGGAUCCCAGGUGCCCUGACUCCAGACCCAGGGGGCUUCCCCCUGGGAGUUCCUGGAGUAGACAGGAUUCAGACGUGGCUGUGGACUUCACGCGGGACAGGUGGCAGCAGAUGGAGCUGUACCGCCAGCUGAUUCUGGAGACUCACAGGAACGUCUCCUGCCCGGGACUGGCAGUCUCCAAGCCCCCUGUGAUCUUCCGGUUGGAGCGAGGGGAAGCACCUUGGACACCCGCAGGAGCCAGCCCAGGGAACCCCUGCGCAGGUGAGUGAGAAGCCCUGGCCUGUUCCCUUCGGGCAGAGCGAUGACAAGAGCUCUCGU